GGCCCGUUAGCUCAGUCCGGUUAGAGUACCACACUCUUAAUGUGGGUGCCAAGGGUUCAAAUCCCUUACGGGCCA
Molecule: transfer RNA, 75 nt
Filed under: archaeon
Lineage: Archaea
Also listed under: 1 other name
Description: tRNA-Lys
Rfam family: tRNA
About the family: Transfer RNA (tRNA) molecules are approximately 80 nucleotides in length. Their secondary structure includes four short double-helical elements and three loops (D, anti-codon, and T loops). Further hydrogen bonds mediate the characteristic L-shaped molecular structure. tRNAs have two regions of fundamental functional importance: the anti-codon, which is responsible for specific mRNA codon recognition, and the 3' end, to which the tRNAs corresponding amino acid is attached (by aminoacyl-tRNA synthetases). tRNAs cope with the degeneracy of the genetic code in two manners: having more than one tRNA (with a specific anti-codon) for a particular amino acid; and 'wobble' base-pairing, i.e. permitting non-standard base-pairing at the 3rd anti-codon position.
Source: RNAcentral